GUUCCCGUAGUUGAAUUCAAUUGUGGGUUUUCAACCCGCCGGUCCUGGUUAAAAUCCGGGCGGGAAUA
This 68-nucleotide transfer RNA is filed under the name Ophidion marginatum (striped cusk-eel). Its description in RNAcentral is "tRNA-Glu". It matches the Rfam family "tRNA". From Rfam's summary of the family: Transfer RNA (tRNA) molecules are approximately 80 nucleotides in length. The record is from RNAcentral. Lineage: Eukaryota; Metazoa; Chordata; Actinopteri; Ophidiiformes; Ophidiidae.